Long non-coding RNA from Phyllopteryx taeniolatus (common seadragon), 502 nucleotides. RefSeq lists it as uncharacterized. NCBI's taxonomy places the organism in Eukaryota, Metazoa, Chordata, Actinopteri, Syngnathiformes, Syngnathidae. The transcript is spliced from 3 exons. The record is from RefSeq and is a predicted model, not a curated record.
GUAUUGGAGAACGGUCAUCCUGUGAGCCAACCCUUACCCCGUCUACUUCUUCGAACCUUCUCUGUAUCAUUUGGUGUCAUCAUGUUCGCGUUGGAUCGGUCCCAACUCGAAGUGGAAACCACGUUACAAGACCCGGCUGGAUUGACUGGCGAGUAUUGCAGGGUGUCACUCCUCUUCACCAAAGUCAACUGAGAUGGACUCCAGCUCACCUUUGACCCUAAUGAGGAAACGCAUUGUGGAGAAUGCAUGGAUGGAUGGAUGGAAUCCUGAGUGACAAUGCUCAUAGGCAUAAUUCAUCUGGCGGCGGAAAUCGGGGAUGGCAGAGAAACACCAGCGAUGGCACCAGCGUGAGUGCGGAGCAGUGCCACAUGCAGGAAACAGGUGCCAGCGACAAUUUCAUUGUUUCCAAGGGGCAGGAGAGAUUGGAUGCGACAGUCAUAAGUGGAAAAAGAGUUUUUCUUGUUUCUUAAAAAUACAAAUAAAAAAUGUUUUUUUUUUUUUU